Branchiostoma floridae (Florida lancelet) is the source of this 694-nucleotide long non-coding RNA. RefSeq lists it as uncharacterized. Lineage: Eukaryota; Metazoa; Chordata; Leptocardii; Amphioxiformes; Branchiostomatidae. The transcript is spliced from 3 exons. The record is from RefSeq and is a predicted model, not a curated record.
UUACACCUUGGAGUAUAUAUUUCCAUCCCCGCGAGCCCUCCUCAUUCAUUCCCGCCAGACCUGACCUCAGAGUGAAGUUGUACAGUGAUCUACGUGUCCAGGAAUUCUCUGAAGCUACACCAUGAAGCUGUUUGUCUGCAUGAUGCUGGUGACGAUGGUUGUCAUGGCAACGCUGAUCGACGACUCGGAGGGAUGGAGGCGUCGGCGCAGGCGCAGAAGGGGCCGUCUGGAUAUCGAUGCAGAUGCUGACUCCGAGUUGAGGGAGGUUGUGGAAGAGGCGAGGUCGCUCCUGGAGGAACUUGAUGAGACCAGUGAACACUUGGAUACACGGGAACUACAGAACGAGGAAGUGGAGAACAUACUCGCGGAUCAGGAAGGAGGUCAACGGAGAAGGACUUACGAGUAAAGUUGAAAUUGGUUUAGAAUCAAAGGACGAUUGGUCGUCGAUUUUAUUUUCUUUGGUUGAAAAUUUUUUUGUCUCGUCUUAUUCCAAUCACACAACAUGCAAUGUUCUUCAACCUGAAAAAUGUCAAUUUGAGCUCGGAAAAAAUUGUGUCUAAACAUGGAUUCAAUCUGUUGGCUAAAAAGAUCAUCCACUUGUUAGAUAUGUAUUAAAGCCAAUCAUUAUGUUAUGCAUGUUCGACAUUUUGUGCACUUGACUCUUGUUGAUUGAAUAAAAGUUAUUAAAAGCAAA